This 478-nucleotide ribosomal RNA is filed under the name uncultured bacterium. RNAcentral's name for it is "partial 16S ribosomal RNA". It matches the Rfam family "Bacterial small subunit ribosomal RNA", at positions 28 to 507 of the family's 1533-position model. The record is from RNAcentral.
GAUGAACGCUGGCGGCGUGCUUAACACAUGCAAGUCGAACGAGAAGUGAAGACGGAAACCUUCGGGCGGAAGGCUUUAUUUCGAGUGGCGGACGGGUGAGUAACGCGUGGGUAACCUGCCUCAUACAGGGGGAUAACAGUUGGAAACGACUGUUAAUACCGCAUAAGACCACAGCACCGCAUGGUGCGGGGGUAAAAACUCCGGUGGUAUGAGAUGGACCCGCGUUCGAUUAGCCAGUUGGCGGGGUAACGGCCCACCAAAGCGACGAUCGAUAGCCGAUCUGAGAGGAUGACCGGCCACAUUGGGACUGAGACACGGCCCAAACUCCUACGGGAGGCAGCAGUGGGGAAUAGUGCACAAUGGGGGAAACCCUGAUGCAGCGACGCCGCGUGAGUGAAGAAGUAUUUCGGUAUGUAAAGCUCUAUCAGCAGGGAAGAAAAUGACGGUACCUGAGCAAGAAGCCCCGGCUAACUACGUG